Molecule: long non-coding RNA, 101 nt
Organism: Sinocyclocheilus grahami
Lineage: Eukaryota; Metazoa; Chordata; Actinopteri; Cypriniformes; Cyprinidae
Exons: 3
Source: RefSeq, a predicted model, not a curated record
AGAUUUAUUUAUUAAAAACACACAGGUUUUCACUUCACACGAUGUUAACGGUUGGACUGGAGUCAUGUGGAUUAUUGUGACGUUUUUAUCGGUUGUUUGGA